This 887-nucleotide long non-coding RNA is filed under the name Homo sapiens (human). RNAcentral describes it as "HSALNT0401432". The record is from RNAcentral. Lineage: Eukaryota; Metazoa; Chordata; Mammalia; Primates; Hominidae.
UUUGAAAGGAAACCAUUUAUUUAUUUACUUCCUCUACAGUUUUCCUGACUGCUACAUUUCAUAAGAAGGGAUUGUUUAUGAGGGUCAAGGAGCUGGAGGCCUGGGGAGGAGCUGGUGUUUCUGUUCAAGUUUGAGGGUCCUGGAGCUGGAGCCCAGGGGAGGAGCCAGUGCUGCCACUGAUGUCUUAGGGUCGUGGAGCUGAAGAUCCCAGAGGAGCCGGUGCUGCUAUUCUAGCUUGAGUUUCGUGGAGCUGGAGACCCAGGGAGAAGAUGGUGCUGCUGUUCUAAUUUAAGGAUCGUGAAACAGAAGACCCAGAAAGGAGCUGGUGCUGCCGCUGCUCAGAUCUGAGGGUGUUGGAGCUGGAGCCUGGGGGUGGAGCCAUUGCUGCCAUUGAAGUGUGAGAGUCAUUGAGCUGGAAGUCCAGGAAGCAGCUGGUGCUGCUGUUCUAGUUUGAGGGUUGUGGAGUGCAGACCCAGGCAGGAGCAACAUUGCUGUAGUUCGAGGGUCAGAAAGCUGGCGACCCAGGGAGGAGAGGUCUUGUUCUAGUUUGAUUUUCGUGGAGCUGCAGACCCAGGCAGGAGCAAUGUUGCUGUAGUUCGAGGGUCCGGUAGCUGGCAACCCGGGGAGGAGAAGUCUUGUUCGAGUUUGAGGGUCGUGGAGCUGCCGACCCAGGGAGGAGCAAUUUGGUUGUAAUUUGAGGGUCCAGAAGCUGGAGACCCAGGGAGGAGAGAGAUCUUGUUCUGGUCUGAGGGUUGUGGAGCCACAGACCCAGGGAGGAGCAAUUUUGUUGUAAUUUGAGGGUCAGGAAGCUGGCGACCCAGGGAGGAGAGGUCUUGUUCUAGUUUAAGGGUCGUGGAGCUGCAGACCCAGGGAGGAGCAAUGUUGUU